Molecule: ribosomal RNA, 1350 nt
Filed under: Salmonella enterica subsp. enterica serovar Stanley
Lineage: Bacteria; Pseudomonadati; Pseudomonadota; Gammaproteobacteria; Enterobacterales; Enterobacteriaceae
Description: bacterial SSU rRNA
Rfam family: Bacterial small subunit ribosomal RNA
Source: RNAcentral
GGACCUUCGGGCCUCUUGCCAUCAGAUGUGCCCAGAUGGGAUUAGCUUGUUGGUGAGGUAACGGCUCACCAAGGCGACGAUCCCUAGCUGGUCUGAGAGGAUGACCAGCCACACUGGAACUGAGACACGGUCCAGACUCCUACGGGAGGCAGCAGUGGGGAAUAUUGCACAAUGGGCGCAAGCCUGAUGCAGCCAUGCCGCGUGUAUGAAGAAGGCCUUCGGGUUGUAAAGUACUUUCAGCGGGGAGGAAGGUGUUGUGGUUAAUAACCGCAGCAAUUGACGUUACCCGCAGAAGAAGCACCGGCUAACUCCGUGCCAGCAGCCGCGGUAAUACGGAGGGUGCAAGCGUUAAUCGGAAUUACUGGGCGUAAAGCGCACGCAGGCGGUCUGUCAAGUCGGAUGUGAAAUCCCCGGGCUCAACCUGGGAACUGCAUUCGAAACUGGCAGGCUUGAGUCUUGUAGAGGGGGGUAGAAUUCCAGGUGUAGCGGUGAAAUGCGUAGAGAUCUGGAGGAAUACCGGUGGCGAAGGCGGCCCCCUGGACAAAGACUGACGCUCAGGUGCGAAAGCGUGGGGAGCAAACAGGAUUAGAUACCCUGGUAGUCCACGCCGUAAACGAUGUCUACUUGGAGGUUGUGCCCUUGAGGCGUGGCUUCCGGAGCUAACGCGUUAAGUAGACCGCCUGGGGAGUACGGCCGCAAGGUUAAAACUCAAAUGAAUUGACGGGGGCCCGCACAAGCGGUGGAGCAUGUGGUUUAAUUCGAUGCAACGCGAAGAACCUUACCUGGUCUUGACAUCCACAGAACUUUCCAGAGAUGGAUUGGUGCCUUCGGGAACUGUGAGACAGGUGCUGCAUGGCUGUCGUCAGCUCGUGUUGUGAAAUGUUGGGUUAAGUCCCGCAACGAGCGCAACCCUUAUCCUUUGUUGCCAGCGGUCCGGCCGGGAACUCAAAGGAGACUGCCAGUGAUAAACUGGAGGAAGGUGGGGAUGACGUCAAGUCAUCAUGGCCCUUACGACCAGGGCUACACACGUGCUACAAUGGCGCAUACAAAGAGAAGCGACCUCGCGAGAGCAAGCGGACCUCAUAAAGUGCGUCGUAGUCCGGAUUGGAGUCUGCAACUCGACUCCAUGAAGUCGGAAUCGCUAGUAAUCGUGGAUCAGAAUGCCACGGUGAAUACGUUCCCGGGCCUUGUACACACCGCCCGUCACACCAUGGGAGUGGGUUGCAAAAGAAGUAGGUAGCUUAACCUUCGGGAGGGCGCUUACCACUUUGUGAUUCAUGACUGGGGUGAAGUCGUAACAAGGUAACCGUAGGGGAACCUGCGGUUGGAUCACCUCCUUACCUUAAAGAA